GCCGCCGUAGCUCAGCGUGGUAGAGCAAAUCCUACCUAAAUAGGAGCUUAACUGGCUGUUAACCAGUGGGUCGUCGGUUCAAGUCCGACCGGCGGCG
RNAcentral lists this transfer RNA (97 nucleotides) under Thaumarchaeota archaeon RBG_16_49_8. Its description in RNAcentral is "tRNA-Asn". It matches the Rfam family "tRNA". Rfam says of the family: Transfer RNA (tRNA) molecules are approximately 80 nucleotides in length. Their secondary structure includes four short double-helical elements and three loops (D, anti-codon, and T loops). Further hydrogen bonds mediate the characteristic L-shaped molecular structure. tRNAs have two regions of fundamental functional importance: the anti-codon, which is responsible for specific mRNA codon recognition, and the 3' end, to which the tRNAs corresponding amino acid is attached (by aminoacyl-tRNA synthetases). tRNAs cope with the degeneracy of the genetic code in two manners: having more than one tRNA (with a specific anti-codon) for a particular amino acid; and 'wobble' base-pairing, i.e. permitting non-standard base-pairing at the 3rd anti-codon position. Lineage: Archaea; Thermoproteati; Nitrososphaerota. The record is from RNAcentral.